This 425-nucleotide ribosomal RNA is filed under the name uncultured bacterium. Its description in RNAcentral is "partial 16S ribosomal RNA". It matches the Rfam family "Bacterial small subunit ribosomal RNA", at positions 354 to 796 of the family's 1533-position model. The record is from RNAcentral.
GUGGGGAAUCUUAGACAAUGGGCGCAAGCCUGAUCUAGCCAUGCCGCGUGAUCGAUGAAGGCCUUAGGGUUGUAAAGAUCUUUCAGUGGGGAAGAUAAUGACUGUACCCACAGAAGAAGCCCCGGCUAACUCCGUGCCAGCAGCCGCGGUAAUACGGAGGGGGCUAGCGUUGUUCGGAAUUACUGGGCGUAAAGCGCACGUAGGCGGAACAGAAAGUCAGAGGUGAAAUCCCAGGGCUCAACCUUGGAACUGCCUUUGAAACUCCUGUUCUUGAGUUCGAGAGAGGUGAGUGGAAUUCCGAGUGUAGAGGUGAAAUUCGUAGAUAUUCGGAGGAACACCAGUGGCGAAGGCGGCUCACUGGUCCAUUACUGACGCUGAGGUGCGAAAGCGUGGGGAGCAAACAGGAUUAGAAACCCCAGUAGUCC